AUUGAACGCUGGCGGCAUGCCUUACACAUGCAAGUCGAACGGCAGCGCGGGGCAACCUGGCGGCGAGUGGCGAACGGGUGAGUAACAUAUCGGAACAUACCCUAGAGUGGGGGAUAACGUAGCGAAAGUUACGCUAAUACCGCAUACGCACUAAGGUGGAAAGUGGGGGAUUCGCAAGAACCUCAUGCUCAUGGAGUGGCCGAUAUCUGAUUAGCUAGUUGGUGAGGUAAAGGCUCACCAAGGCGACGAUCAGUAGCUGGUUUGAGAGAACGACCAGCCACACUGGAACUGAGACACGGUCCAGACUCCUACGGGAGGCAGCAGUGGGGAAUUUUGGACAAUGGGCGCAAGCCUGAUCCAGCAAUGCCGCGUGCAGGAUGAAGGCCUUCGGUUGUAAC
RNAcentral lists this ribosomal RNA (398 nucleotides) under uncultured bacterium. Its description in RNAcentral is "bacterial SSU rRNA". It matches the Rfam family "Bacterial small subunit ribosomal RNA", at positions 30 to 429 of the family's 1533-position model. The record is from RNAcentral.